GAUGAACGCUGGCGGCGUGCCUAAUACAUGCAAGUCGAGCGAACAGACGAGGAGCUUGCUCCUCGGACGUUAGCGGCGGACGGGUGAGUAACACGUGGAUAACCUACCUAUAAGACUGGGAUAACUUCGGGAAACCGGAGCUAAUACCGGAUAAUAUAUUGAACCGCAUGGUUCAAUAGGGAAAGACGGCUUUGCUGUCACUGAUAGAUGGAUCCGCGCCGCAUUAGCUCGUUGGUAAGGUAACGACGUACCAAGGCAACGAUGCGUAGCCGACCUGAUAGGGUGAUCGGCCACACUGGACCUGAGCCACGCUCCAGCCUCCUACGGGAGGCAGCAGUAGCCAAUCUUCCGCAAUGGGCGACAGCCUGUCCGACCACCGCCGCGUGAGUGCUGACGGUCUUCGGAUCGUAAAACUCUCUUCUUAGGGAAGAACAAAUGUCUAAGUAACUAUGCCCGUCUUGACGGUACCUAAUCAGAAAGCCCCGGCUAACUACGUG
RNAcentral lists this ribosomal RNA (497 nucleotides) under uncultured bacterium. Its description in RNAcentral is "partial 16S ribosomal RNA". It matches the Rfam family "Bacterial small subunit ribosomal RNA", at positions 28 to 507 of the family's 1533-position model. The record is from RNAcentral.